This is a non-coding RNA of Salmo salar (Atlantic salmon), 2925 nucleotides long. NCBI's taxonomy places the organism in Eukaryota, Metazoa, Chordata, Actinopteri, Salmoniformes, Salmonidae. The record is from RefSeq and is a predicted model, not a curated record.
CGGAGCUGCUGUUCAUUUUGUCUGGUUUCAGGUGGUGACCUUUGCACCUAUUCACACUUUUCCCCUCACCAGUGCCCGAGGCUACCUUCCACCAGGCUCUAGCAGUACAAACGCACUACAACCGACUGGUGGACAAGUUCAGCCAGGACUCAAGCUUCCUGGAGGAGGCUCUAGCCAGGUAAUACAGAGAGCUGUAUGACCAAGCAGAAAAGACUAGGGCAAUAGAGGGAUUGUAGACAAUUUAAGGAUCUGCUCCUUUUUAACAUUUUAAUAGCACUAUCAAAGUAGAUUUCACUGGCAGUUUAUUCAACAUACAGACAUGUCAUACAAGAGGGGAGGACUCAGGUUUUGUAGUUUAAAUUAACCUUUUACUGCAGUGGGCUAAAUCAGGGUCACACAGAGUGUUUCUUGGUAGUCUUAAACAAAUCUACUUUGAAACAAAAGUAUACACCUCACACACAUGGUUAUGGGCUUAAAAAAAGGAAGACACCUGUACCAUGUCAGAUAUAGAGUUAAAAUGUAUUACAUUUUUAGUUUGCAUCCCAAUAUUACACAUUAUGUACAUCACAGACGAUAGAAAUAUAGAAACACUGGCUUUUCGGUUGGUUUUUGAAAUAAUGUUUAUUAACUCUGAAUAACAUGAGGUCACUAGGUCAUUUACUGCAGGAAAGGGCGACAGGGCAAUUCCACCGCUUUUCACUGGGAGGAACCAGGUAGGGUGUUGUAGUUCUAUUUAAAUGUUAAUGAACUAUAUCAGAUAUUAAGAACAUUUGUAUUAAUCUAAUUUAGGAACAAUUAAGAUAGGAUGUUCACACUACUUUAUGAAAAAUGUCCAGUCCAUAGUUUUGGGUCUGAAUCGCUCAGACUACAUGUUGGACCAGAAUGGCUCCCUGAAACAGAGAUCAACAUCAUUGCUGCCGGUGGGUGUGGUGUUUCUGCAUGCACACCAGACGUCCACCAGCACAUUCUGAAGAGGCCUGGUCAGCUGGAUGAAAGCAAGCAUGUCCUAGACAACAACCCUUCUGCAAGUCUGGCUAAGGCCUGGGACCUCUACGGCUCAGAAAGAUGGGCGUCAGAAGGUUUUCAUAUCACUUUAAAUGUAAAUGAUUCAAGCUCCAACUGGCAAUGCUAACUAUCUAACAUUCAUUCACUGCAGGGCAGUGGUCCCGUUUCUGGUUGAAGUAUUUUUUGGGCCAUAGAUAUAUUGAGAAUGAGCUAUGGAACAGAAGAAUUCCUGUUAUACGAAGACGAUUUGACGACGUAUCUAAGAUGGGAUUCCUUGCUGAAAACGAGGAUAUUUGUUCUAUAGUUACUUGUUGUGACCAAAUGGAUUGUUAGAUUUCUAACAAACAUAGAUGGAAGAGGUUGCUAUUGUAUAUUUCCGCUAUGGGUACAUUCCUCAGAACUACACAGAACAGAGCUGGGAGGCUGGCCUCAUGAUGGAACGUUCUAUGGCUGUGAAGUGUCCAGAUAUCAGUACCCACCUGGCUGGCACCAAGAAGGUCCAACAGGAACUGGCCAGACCUGGUGUUCUGGAGAGGUUCUUUCCUGGUGAACCUGACGUGGUGGAUCAGAUCUGGGCCACCUUUGCAGGGCUGUAUAGUCUAGACAUGGGACCAGAAGGUGACAAGACUGUGGCUUUGGCAAAACCAGACCAGUUUGUCCUGAAGCCACAGAGGGAAGGUGGGGGUAAAAGGACCUCAGCUCUUCUUACAAUGAGUGCAUUAACUAAAGGUCGCCUGGUGCCCCGGGUGAGCUGAGAUUUCACUUUAGGACCAUUGGAAUGGUCUACAAUGUACAAACUCUACCCACUCUGUGCCCCAGGUGAGGCAAAACGAAUGCACCUAGUCUCUUGUGACCCUGACACCGUCAUGCUCUGGCCUGUCUGUUGAUGUGUAGAAUUCCUCCUCCUGUGGGCAACCACAUCUAUGGAGCUGAGAUCUGUCAGGUACUGGAGGGUGUGACAUAUAGAGGGCAGCUUACAUCCGGAUGGACAAGAUCCAGCCUGUGCACGACUACAUCCUGUAACGGGGGACUCUGCUAAAACUCAGCACUUGCAUAUGUGAACUGGGCACAUUUGGAGCUUAUGCCAGGAGCAGUCACAUGGUGCUGAAUAAGUGUGCUGAGGACCAAGAGUGAUGAGCGCUCUGAUGGAGGUGUGGCUGCCAGAGUAACAGUCCAAGACAACCCACUCUUCAUCUGACUGUCACUGUCCUUUUUGAUACUAGUGUAUUUUGACUGGUCUAUAAAUUAAGCCAAUGGAUCCAUACUAUCCAAGGAUGAGUGUAAUGUCUGUCAUCCAACUAUGCCCAUAAUGUAUGUAGGAUGUAUGUGCUGUUAUGUUGAAUUUGAUGUGGAAUUGUUCACAUAGCCUGUCUGAUGGUACAGAUUAAAUGAAUAGCCUAUCCAAUGAAAUGCAGGAAUCGGACCGAGCGAGAAAAGUAGAAAUAAUCAUCAGUUUUCAUUAGCACUUUGCUGUUGAUUUCUUCAACUUAUUCAAAUGACUGGCAGGGAUCAACCAAGUUUAAUAAUGUAGAAUUAUGAUGAGUUCAUACAGCGGUAAUUGAUUUGGAAAGUAUAUCACAAUAACUGCUGUUACUCAAACAUGGAGAAUGGUAUUAGGAUGUAUGAAAUGCAGUUCCUUAGUUUGAACACCAGGUGACAGUAAAGGGUAAGAUAUUUCCAUAGAGAAAGACAUUAGCACACAGGCAGUGCUAUUGAGGCAAUCUCCAAUUUGAAGUAGUCAAUUUUCUUCUAUUAUUUUUAUUUCACCUUUUAUUUAACCAGCUAGGCUAGUUGAGAACAAGUUCUCAUUUACAACUGCGACCUGGCCAAGAAGAAGCAAAGCAGUGCGACACAACAGGAGCAAAAUAAAUAAUAUGGUGAGGUAGUUGGAUGGGCUAUUUACAGAUUGCCUAUGUACAG